UUUUAUUGAACAAAUGAAGUUAGUAAGAUAGGUAAAAACAGUCAUUUGUGGUAGGUAUUGGAAACAGCUUGAAAGAGAUUUGAAAAGGUAAUGAAGAAAAGAACAAGAAUGACUUUGAGAGUAAAUGGCAGGAGACAAAUACAGGGAGAUGAAAUGACAACUAGUUGGGGGAAAGUAACAAGAAAUUUUGAAUUUGACAUAGGAAGGGACCAGAGAAGAGAAAGAACAGCCAAAUGAGGGAAGAUUAAGGAGCUAAUUUUGAAUCACAUGCGUUUUCUCCUUUUAAUCUUCCUAAGAACUCUACGAAAUGCAUAUUUUCCCCAUUUUAUAGAUAAGGAAGAAAAGGUUCAGAGAACUUGUUCAGGAUGUCAUAGCUAGUAAGUGGCAAAAUCAGAAUUGGCAUUCAUGCUCUUUCCACUCCUGUGCCGUGGUCUCCUGCAACAGAGGAAUCAAUCUGCCCAAAAGGUUAUCUUCCCAUUGUUUGGUUCUGUAAGUUAUCACAGAACUUAAAGCUAGUGAAAUUUGUGCUAUGCCUAUAAAUUCAUAUUUACACCAUUAUUUUGAGGGGCUGAUUACUAAUUACUUUUUUUAAAUGAUGCACUGAUGAAAAUGUGAAAGGAAAAUAUGGCAUUAUUUGCCAAGAAAAAAUAGAAAGGAUAGAAAAGAAUUUUAUCAAAAUUUUAAUCUUUUUCCAUAAAAGAUAAAAUAAUCUUUUCUAUAUCCCAUCCAUAUUAUAUUAUUGAACCUUCUAUGUGUAUGUUUUUAAAUCUAUAAAAUUCUAUUUCCUUGACUCCAAGUUAACAACUAUUUAUUUCAUACUAAAUCAAAAUUAGAACAAUCUUGAAAUCUAAGAUCUGGUUCCUGCCUAUUUCACCUAGUUGGAAAGACACACUGCACAUGAAAUAGUAGAACAUGUAAAUGUUCACCUUUCUGAGACUGAACCAUAAUUACAAUAGAAGUUUAGAAAGGGUAAAGAAUAGCGUAGGCUUUAGUUAGGAAAAUAAAACUGAAAAAUGGCAAUCACUGUGGCUCACAUUUUCUUUUGACUCACCUGUGUUCUUCAGCUCCAGCUUUUGUAACUACUAGAUUUAGGGAGUGACCAUUAUCAGUAAGGAGUACCUAAUUUCCAAGUAAAAAAGGAUUAUUGAUCCCAGAUUAAAAAUUUUAGCUAGCAAGGAUCUUACUUGGAUACCUAGGAAAAUAACAGAGGGAGCCACUAGCAACUGAAAAGUGAAGGAAGAAUUUAAUUUCUCCAUCCAGGUACAAAUUAAAUGUAUAGUAUAUAUAAUAUGCAGAAGGGGAACUAUAUGUAGGCCUAAGUGUAUUUGGGUAUCGGCUCUGCUCAUUAACAGAAUUGGACUAGAUCAUUAAUUUUCAAUCUGUUCAAAUAAAGGGGCUUGUAAUUAAAAAAUUUGGCAGUGGUGGGAGCUCAUGGAAUUAAGUAUUAAUAUCAUUAAUUCCAUAGAUGGAGAAAAUAUAAAUGAGGAAUUGAAGACCCUUUGCAGAAAUUCUAGGAACCUAUAGAUUGUAGACCACUGAGUUAGAUUAUCUCUGAAGUCCUUUCUGCUCCAAAAUUUAAUGCUUCUAGCCUCUUCCCUUUAUUUUAUAUAUUAAUCUCUAGGUUAAUUUAAAAGUAUACUUGUCAAUCAAUUCCUUUGCUUUUUUCUGUGGCACAGCAGGUUAAGAAUCUGGCAUUGUCACUGCAGGGCUUGAGUCAUUGGCCUGGUAACUUCUGCAUGCUGCAGGCAUGGCCAAAAAAAAAAAAAAGUCUACCCUGACUGUGAUGACUGAAAUCUCUAAAAGGAGAGAUAAUAGUUACAGGUCUAGUACUGAUCUUUUAAACACAGUUCCUUAAUUUUAAAACCUAAUACUGUGUUCCUAAUCAGUGUUGAGUAUGACUAAAAUGUCAUGAAAACCAAAUAUUUCACUGGCCGCAGAGUUAAUUUUUAUUUUGUAUGUGUGCUUAAACAAAGCAUUUUAUUGACAGAACAAUUGUUAGGAAAUUGAUUUGUGCAAGUUGUAGAAUUCACACUUGAUUUUGAAAGAAACAGGUUUUCCAAGAUCCAAUUAGGCUGAAUUUUAAAAUAUUUCUUUUCCCAUGGAGUGUAUCUCCAUGGUGUAAUUCUCUCUCUGGCCCUAUUUAACUAUUCAGUAGUAAAUCAUGGGAUGUGGGUUGAUGAAUAAGUAAUGUCUUAUUUAAAACUAAAUGAGAGAACAAUCCACCCUUCUGGUAAACAUGGGAAUUUCCCAUUAGAUAAGCCUUUCUGAAAGGCUACGUAAAGACAGCCGUGUAUUAUGAAUAUUCAACUUCAUUGAUUUGCCGUGCUUAGCAUUUCGGUUACUAUCUUGCCGUGAAACUUCGUAUUGCACUGUACACAUUUUAGAAUAGUGGCUUGAAUGUUCUUUAGUACUGAAAAUAACAGAAUACCAGGCCACUGUUGAUUUCUCCUGAUAAUGUAGAAAUUUGGUAUUUCAGUGAUGGCUGUUUUGGUCUUUGAUUCACCUCUGUGCCAGUUCUGUUAGAGAGACAGCUUAGAUUUUUUUUUCUUUUUUGCAUUUUAGGGCGGCACCUGCAGCAUGUGGAGGUUUGCAGGCCUAGGGGUCUAAUCGGAGCUACAGCUGCCUCCCACAGCCACAGCCACAGCCACAGCAAUGCCAGAUGCGAGCCUUGUCUGCGACCUACACCACAGCUCAUGGCAACACCGGAUCCUUAACCCACUGAGCGAGGCCAGGGAUUGAAACUGCAUCCUCAUGGAUGCUAGUCAGAUUCGUUAACCACUGAGCUAUGACUCGAACUCCUAGAAAUUUUUAAAUAGAGAUUAUGAUAACCAUGGUAGUUUUCCCAUGAGGUGAUCCUGUGGUUAAAUUAUUAUAUCCAGCAGUGAGAUGCUUAAUUAGAAAAUCUUUUAAAACUACUUUACUUUUCCAUUCUCUUCUUGAUUUUUGACAUCCAUUCUCUGGAAAUGGCAUGAUUUUUAAAGAAAUUGGCUAUUUUUAAGAAAUUCCAUUUCUGGAGUUCCCUGGUGGUACAGCAGAUUAAGGAUCCAGUGUUGUCACUGUGUGGCUCAGGUUUGAUUUCUGACCCCAGAACUUCCAUAUACUGCAAGCGUGGCCCAAAAAAAAUCCACUUCUAAUUUUUCAUCUUUUAUAAAUUAAUAUACAAGAAAAGAAUUCAAGGCACUUAUUUUUCUCUCUACAUAAGAAUUCUUAUUCCAAAUGAGACUAGCUCUCUCCAUGACAUCCCUCCCACCACCUUUGUUGGCCCAUAGAAUGCUGUUGUAUUGCUUAGAAUCUUGAUCAUUCUCAUAAACAUCAUAAUUUUUGGUACAAAUCUCAAAGUAGGGCAUAAUGAAUAUGCCCAACUGCUUUAAUGAUAUGAACUGAACUGCUUUAAUGAAACAUCAUUUAGCAUUUCUCUGAAGUAUUUUCAGGAGAUAACCAAAUUCACUUGUAGGAUUGAGACACAAAUGCCAAUGGUAGUAUUUUGCUUUGGAACAAUCACAUAUUAUUAAUCUAUGAAUACGGCAUGUUGCCAACAGAUACUUAAUUCUGUUGCAACUAACAGCAAGUUUUUGUUGUUUGCUUAAUAGUAUUGCCUUUACAGAGCUCAAAAUGCCCUAAGAUUUUAUAUCCUUUAUAAAAUCACUUGAGUUUACAAAUUGGAAGAAUAAACUGAUCAUAAGAAAAAUUUUAUCUCCAUUAAAAUAAGUUAUUAAUCUAACUGGGCCACCAUGUCAUUUAUUAGACAUGGUAAAUGGGAAACAUUUCAAAUCAUUAGAUAAAUUGACUUGGAAUUGAAUUUUCCCUUCCUUAAAAUCUUUUCUAUUUGUUUUUUUCAUAGACUCAAUAUGGGCAUCUUAACUGAUAGGGAGAGAAAUUCUUGAUCUAAAACCAUUCCCUGCCAUUCUGCUACCCCUUCCUGCACCCCCGCCGCCCCUCCUCUGUCAAGGUCGCUAGGAUAUCUUUCAAUCUAAUGACAUUGGAAUGUUGAUGCUCACUUGGCUAUCUUUCUGUUUUCAACAGAAUGGUUUUAAUAGUAUGCUUUUCUCAAAGCUUCUGUGUUCUUAAUAAUGGAAAAUAUCAAUAAAUGGUGUGAUUCAAACUAUAAAUAGGUUUUUGACACUAAUCAAAUCACAUGCUCUUAACAAUAGCUGUUUGAUAAUUUAUUUCCUUGUAAAUUAAACCUCCCAUGGAGUGACUAUUGCCACCAGAAAAUCCCCUCUUACCUGCUAAUUAGAAUGAAAGUACUAUGUGGCCUCCACUUUUCAGUUACUGAGUAGCAAGCUUAUAGAGGCUGUUUAUCUUACGUGUUUGGGGACUUGGCCCUUGUUACUUUCCUAGGCCUGUCCUUUCAGUUUGGAAAGGCUAUUUAAAACUUGGUGGGGUACAGACAGUACAGCUGUAAGAUAAUCCUCUGGUCUUAGAUCUAGAGAAAUGAGUACCAAUUGAUGCUAACAUGAUAUUUAGACUUAGAGGGGCUUCUAGCCUAUCUUUGGCAAGAGUCUUAGACACAAUUUUAUUCACUCCUUUAAGAAUCUUUUUUUCUAGAACGGUUUUCCUUCUGAUUGUUAACUUCUAAGCUUCGGAGAGUUAAGCAUCUAGUGUCUUUUUUUUUUAACCCUUGAAGAAACAAAGUAGAUAUUGUUCUAUGGAGACUCUCAGGAGUGUUUGUAGGCUCUGUGCAUGCUUUGUAUGAGUUCAGUUCAUUUCGAAUCAUCCGGGAUGUCCAAUUCUGGCAUGUCUUCACUAAUUGUAUUUUUUAAACAUUUUUCAUGUCAUUUUCCAAAUGUCACUUCCCAUCUUAUCCAGAGAGGUUAAUCAAGGAAUGAAAUUUGGGGAUAGGGAUGGGGGUGGGUUGGGGGCUUGAGUGAAGUCAACUUGGGGUAUUUGCUUUAAAGUGUUCUCAAGCAGUUUCUAACAGUAUUUAGAAAUUCCCUGGGAUGUUUGUGUGCUCAGCUUAUUCUGGAUAAAGUGGUGGUCUUAGUAAGAUUUGCAUUCUUAAUGCAGGACAGGCUCUAAAUUUAAUCUGUAGUGUAAAUUUGUUAUUGAAUCCAAGAAGAUAAUGGACAAAGACAGUGCUCCUAUUGUAGUGUUUAUGGCAAGUGCUCCCUAAAAUACACAAAAGUACAGUUCUGUUUUCUGGGCUUUAAUCCCAUGGUGCUAGGAGAUAUCAUGUGUUUCUGCAGUUCUUAAGGAUGGGAAGGCGGCGUUGGGAUCAGUGAGAAAGGGGCAACUGGAUCAUCCACUAAAUUUUUUGUUCAGUACACACUAGAGACCCUCCUGUAUAUCUAGUAAGUGAUAAUAAAGGUGCUAGGGAAAGCCUUAAAUUUGAAGACAUGUGGAGACUAUAGAAUAUCUAAACUUGUAGGAGGAGAAAACAUGCCGUUAGAUAAAGCAGAGCUGUAACUGCUGGCUAAGACUCAAUGGAACUUCCACUUGCUCUAAAACCAGGGAAAUCUUAGAUAACUGGGUGUGAUAUAUCUAUAGAUAUACAUAGUCUAUAGGUAAAUAAUUUCUAAAAUGAGGAUCUUUCAGUUGGUGAUCCUCUGGUUUUGACUGUACCAAAUUGUGAAUAUUCUUACUGUGUUGUACCCAGUUGCUUUAUAUUGAUACUGCAACUUGAAUUUGGGGAGGGGGCGGUGGGACAUUCAGGGUGGGGGAGGGAGGGGAGUGGGACGAUAAGUCUUUUGAAGACAUCAGCUCACUGUGCUGAGAGAGGGACCAAACUCAAGGAAACCUCUAAUCUAUAAAUUCAACUGCUGCAUUUUUUAUAAAUACAUGUAAAUGUCCUGUUGUAAUAUUUGAUCUUGGAAAUAAA
This 5818-nucleotide long non-coding RNA is filed under the name Sus scrofa (pig). RNAcentral describes it as "lncRNA (ENSSSCG00000062764.1)". Lineage: Eukaryota; Metazoa; Chordata; Mammalia; Artiodactyla; Suidae. The record is from RNAcentral.